AAGACUAUACUUUCAGAGAUCAUAUCCAUAGUCUGUUACUAGAGAAGCUUUUCUGAACAUUUAGAGUACCCGAAACCACAAGGAAGAGGUACAAUGUUCUCUCCUGAGCGUGAAGGUGACUUUGGGUCUUGUUUCCAAUGACAGCCAAUUACCACUGAUGAUCAUUCGUCUUCUCCUUUGGGGGAGUAAGAGGGAGAGGACCAGGUCUGAGUGAU
Molecule: small nucleolar RNA, 215 nt
Organism: Acinonyx jubatus (cheetah)
Lineage: Eukaryota; Metazoa; Chordata; Mammalia; Carnivora; Felidae
Product: small nucleolar RNA U3
Exons: 1
Source: RefSeq, a predicted model, not a curated record